UACAGAGGUCUCAAGCGUUGUUCGGAUUCAUUGGGCGUAAAGGGUGCGUAGGUGGCGGGGUAAGUCAGGUGUGAAAUCUCGGGGCUCAACCCCGAAACUGCAUUUGAUACUGCCUUGCUCGAGUACUGGAGAGGAGAUUGGAAUUUACGGUGUAGCAGUGAAAUGCGUAGAUAUCGUAAGGAAGACCAGUGGCGAAGGCGGCACUCUGGGCCGGUACUGACGCUGAGGAGCGAAAGCGUGGGGGGCGAACAGG
Molecule: ribosomal RNA, 253 nt
Filed under: uncultured bacterium
Lineage: Bacteria
Description: partial 16S ribosomal RNA
Rfam family: Bacterial small subunit ribosomal RNA
Source: RNAcentral